UAGCUAGUUGGUAAGGUAACGGCUUACCAAGGCAAUGAUGCAUAGCCGAGUUGAGAGACUGAUCGGCCACAUUGGGACUGAGACACGGCCCAAACUCCUACGGGAGGCAGCAGUAGGGAAUCUUCCACAAUGGACGAAAGUCUGAUGGAGCAACGCCGCGUGAGUGAAGAAGGGUUUCGGCUCGUAAAGCUCUGUUGGUAGUGAAGAAAGAUAGAGGUAGUAACUGGCCUUUAUUUGACGGUAAUUACUUAGAAAGUCGCGGCUAACUACGUGCCAGCAGCCGCGGUAAUACGUAGGUGGCAAGCGUUGUCCGGAUUUAUUGGGCGUAAAGCGAGUGCAGGCGGUUCAAUAAGUCUGAUGUGAAAGCCUUCGGCUCAACCGGAGAAUUGCAUCAGAAACUGUUGAACUUGAGUGCAGAAGAGGAGAGUGGAACUCCAUGUGUAGCGGUGGAAUGCGUAGAUAUAUGGAAGAACACCAGUGGCGAAGGCGGCUCUCUGGUCUGCAACUGACGCUGAGGCUCGAAAGCAUGGGUAGCGAACAGGAUUAGAUACCCUGGUAGUCCAUGCCGUAAACGAUGAGUGCUAAGUGUUGGGAGGUUUCCGCCUCUCAGUGCUGCAGCUAACGC
Molecule: ribosomal RNA, 625 nt
Filed under: uncultured bacterium
Lineage: Bacteria
Description: bacterial SSU rRNA
Rfam family: Bacterial small subunit ribosomal RNA
Source: RNAcentral